Molecule: ribosomal RNA, 1438 nt
Filed under: uncultured bacterium
Lineage: Bacteria
Description: 16S ribosomal RNA
Rfam family: Bacterial small subunit ribosomal RNA
Source: RNAcentral
UUAGAGUUUGAUCCUGGCUCAGAACGUACGCUGGCGGCACGCCUAACACAUGCAAGUCGAACGAAGUAGCAAUACUUAGUGGCAGACGGGUGAGUAACAUGUAGGUAUCUGCCCUUUGGCCUGGAAUAACACGAGGAAACUUGUGCUAAUACCGGAUAAGUCUUUACGGAGAAAGCUUUAUGCACCAUUGGAUGAGCCUGCACUUGAUUAGUUUGUUGGUGGGGUAAUGGCCUACCAAGACUGUGAUCAAUAGCUGAUUUGAGAGGAUGAUCAGCCACAUUGGGACUGAGACACGGCCCAAACUCCUACGGGAGGCAGCAGUGGGGAAUCUUGCACAAUGGAGGAAACUCUGAUGCAGCGAUGCCGCGUGAGUGAAGAAGGCCUUUGGGUUGUAAAGCUCUUUCGUCGGGGAAGAAAAUGACUGUACCCGAAUAAGAAGGUCCGGCUAACUUCGUGCCAGCAGCCGCGGUAAUACGAAGGGACCUAGCGUAGUUCGGAAUUACUGGGCUUAAAGAGUUCGUAGGUGGUUGAAAAAGUUAGUGGUGAAAUCCCAGAGCUUAACUCUGGAACUGCCAUUAAAACUUUUCAGCUAGAGUAUGAUAGAGGAAAGCAGAAUUUCUAGUGUAGAGGUGAAAUUCGUAGAUAUUAGAAAGAAUACCAAUUGCGAAGGCAGCUUUCUGGAUCAUUACUGACACUGAGGAACGAAAGCAUGGGUAGCGAAGAGGAUUAGAUACCCUCGUAGUCCAUGCCGUAAACGAUGUGUGUUAGACGUUGGAAAUUUAUUUUCAGUGUCGCAGGGAAACCGAUAAACACACCGCCUGGGGAGUACGACCGCAAGGUUAAAACUCAAAUGAAUUGACGGGGACCCGCACAAGUAGUGGAGCAUGUGGUUUAAUUCGAAGAUACGCGCAGAACCUUACCAACACUUGACAUGUUCGUCGCGACUCUAAGAGAUUAGAGUUUUCGGUUCGGCCGGACGAAACACAGGUGCUGCAUGGCUGUCGUCAGCUCGUGUCGUGAGAUGUUGGGUUAAGUCCCGCAACGAGCGCAACCCUCACUUUUAGUUGCCAUCAUUAAGUUGGGCACUCUGAAAGAACUGCCAGUGAUAAGCUGGAGGAAGGUGGGGAUGACGUCAAGUCCUCAUGGCCCUUACGUGUUGGGCUACACACGUGCUACAAUGGUAUCUACAACAGGAAGCAAGACUGCGAAGUUAAGCAAAUCCCUAAAAGAUACCUCAGUUCGGAUUGCACUCUGCAACUCGAGUGCAUGAAGCUGGAAUUACUAGUAAUCGUGGAUCAGCGUGCCACGGUGAAUGCGUUCCCGGGUCUUGUACACACCGCCCGUCACACCAUGGGAGUUGGUUCUACCUUAAGGCAAGGUUUCAAACCCUUGACCACGGUAUAGUCAGCGACUGGGGUGAAGUCGUAACAAGGUAACC